CUUAGCUAAAAUUUACCGCAGUAUAUCGCCAAAACUGCAGGUGAUAGUGAUAGGGGAACAAGCGGUCUCCGAUUUUAAGGAGUGAUAGCUCGUUAGAUUGGUCUUUCAAUUCUAGAGAAUCGUAUCUUUCAUUUUUUUCGAAUAUUUUUUUCAAUUUUCGGUUAAAGCGUUCAAAGUUGAA
Molecule: long non-coding RNA, 181 nt
Organism: Bradysia coprophila
Lineage: Eukaryota; Metazoa; Arthropoda; Insecta; Diptera; Sciaridae
Source: RefSeq, a predicted model, not a curated record